CAUCCCCCUGGCCGCCUUGAUGCUGGGACCCAGGCUGACCCUGCUGCUCCGGCCUUCUGCCCACCCGCCUGAUUCCUGCAAAGCAACAGAGAGAAAACAGGCUCGGACUGAACUCUGCAGAGCUCCGCUCCGGACUGACACCGGCGGCAUUCGGCAGGUGUUUGCCGAGCGAAGCCCGCAGCAGGAGCAGAGCAGCAGCAUCAGCCGUAACCCAACACCGCGCCUCCCCAUCGGAUGCUAGAGGAGCAUAUCUGCGACACACGGCGCUCCGCUCCGGGCUCUACCUCCGCGUCUACGCCACCAGCCCGCCGACACGUGCGUGCGGCUCGCCUCGUCCCUCCGUCCUCUAACAACAACAACAGCAGCCCAGGGUCCAUGUUGACCUCCCAGCAGCAGCUAAUGGAGCUAAGCGGCGCCGUGCACGGCAGCCGCGGACGGAGCUGCAAGAGAAAGCUUUAAGCGGGACCACGGGAGCCGCGUUUACCUUCCUUCUUCAGGGGCACCGGAGCCAGAGACUCCUCCUUUUUGUCCAGCAGCGGGGUUUUCCUGUCCUUCUGGGACUCCUUCUUCGGCUGCUUGGCGGCUUGCGCCGCGGUCUUCGCGGACCCAGCGGCGGCCCCCUCCUUCUUCUUGUUUUCGGCGGCUUUCAGGAUCUCGAACGGGUCGGACUCGUCGUCCAAUAGCUGGUCGAACCUGUUGGUCACGACGCAGCCGAAGCCUUCUUGCAAGUGUCCGGGCAUGAUGGCG
Fundulus heteroclitus (mummichog) is the source of this 747-nucleotide long non-coding RNA. RefSeq lists it as uncharacterized. The record is from RefSeq and is a predicted model, not a curated record. The transcript is spliced from 2 exons. Lineage: Eukaryota; Metazoa; Chordata; Actinopteri; Cyprinodontiformes; Fundulidae.